UGGCUUGAUUCCCGCAAGAGAUACGUAGGCAUCCUGAGGUUGGACUUGAGAGCAAUUGCAAAAUCAAACACACACGUUCUGUUUCUUUAUGAUGGAAUCAAAGGGUGUUCCCUUGAAGCAAGGGAUUGUAAUUAAGAGACUUGCGUCUCGAAUGGGUCGAACCUAAAAUAAUAAAAUCCCGUUAUUUAAUUAGUGGUGGUGAAAUUAUAUUAGGAGGAUCACAUUUUCCUUCAAC
This 235-nucleotide long non-coding RNA is filed under the name Prunus persica (peach). RNAcentral's name for it is "long non-coding RNA (PPER_LNC006068)". Lineage: Eukaryota; Viridiplantae; Streptophyta; Magnoliopsida; Rosales; Rosaceae. The record is from RNAcentral.